Molecule: ribosomal RNA, 512 nt
Filed under: Cristigera pleuronemoides
Lineage: Eukaryota; Ciliophora; Oligohymenophorea; Pleuronematida; Cyclidiidae
Description: partial small subunit ribosomal RNA
Rfam family: Bacterial small subunit ribosomal RNA
Source: RNAcentral
AAUUCACAAAAUGGUGGAGUAUGUGGUUUAAUUCAAUAAUCCACGAAAACAUUACCAUAAAUAGUAAAUAAAAAAUUUAUUUAAAUUUAUUUUUAAGUAUUGCAUGGCUGUCGUCAGUUCGUGUUUUGAGAUGUAAAAUUAAGUUUUGUUACGAACGUAACCCCCUUUAAAAAAUAUGUUUUAAUGUAUUAUGUUAGAUAUUUUUUUUAAAAAGGGCUGAAGUCAAGUCAUUAUGGUCUAUAUUUUAUGGGCUACUCACGUGCUACUAAAGUAAAAACAAUUAGUAAAUAAUUUAGAAAUAAGUAUUAAAUCUAAAAAAAUUAUUUUAUUUGGAUUAUUUUAUGAAAGUUUAAAAUAUGAAAUAGGAAUCAUUAGUAAUUGCAAUUUAUAAUGGUGCAAUGAAUAAAAAAAAAAUUUUGCACACACUGCCCAUCACGCUCGGAUAGUGAAUAAAUACUGAAACUUAAGUUUUAAAAACAGAAAAUUUAGAGUUAAGUACUUAUUUGUGAUUU